Molecule: ribosomal RNA, 496 nt
Filed under: uncultured bacterium
Lineage: Bacteria
Description: partial 16S ribosomal RNA
Rfam family: Bacterial small subunit ribosomal RNA
Source: RNAcentral
AUGCACGCUGGCGGCGUGCUUAAUACCUGCAAGUCGAGCGAACGGACGAGAAGCUUGCUUCUCUGAUGUUAGCGGCGGACGGGUGAGUAACACGUGGAUAACCUACCUAUAAGACUGGGAUAACUUCGGGAAACCGGAGCUAAUACCGGAUAAUAUUUUGAACCGCAUGGUUCAAAAGUGAAAGACGGUCUUGCUGUCACUUAUAGAUGGAUCCGCGCUGCAUUAGCUAGUUGGUAAGGUAACGGCUUACCAAGGCAACGAUGCAUAGCCGACCUGAGAGGGUGAUCGGCCACACUGGAACUGAGACACGGUCCAGACUCCUACGGGAGGCAGCAGUAGGGAAUCUUCCGCAAUGGGCGAAAGCCUGGCGGAGCAACGCCGCGUGAGUGAUGAAGGUCUUCGAAUCGUAAAACUCUGUUAUUAGGGAAGAACAUAUGUGUAAGUAACUGUGCACAUCUUGACGGUACCUAAUCAGAAAGCCACGGCUAACUACGUG